This 32-nucleotide transfer RNA is filed under the name Eospalax fontanierii baileyi (plateau zokor). RNAcentral's name for it is "partial tRNA-Thr". Lineage: Eukaryota; Metazoa; Chordata; Mammalia; Rodentia; Spalacidae. The record is from RNAcentral.
AAAUGCUCAGGUAGUAUAUUCAUUACUUUGGU